Molecule: RNase P RNA, 397 nt
Filed under: Flavobacteriales bacterium
Lineage: Bacteria; Pseudomonadati; Bacteroidota; Flavobacteriia; Flavobacteriales
Description: RNase P RNA component class A
Rfam family: Bacterial RNase P class A
About the family: Ribonuclease P (RNase P) is a ubiquitous endoribonuclease, found in archaea, bacteria and eukarya as well as chloroplasts and mitochondria. Its best characterised activity is the generation of mature 5'-ends of tRNAs by cleaving the 5'-leader elements of precursor-tRNAs.
Source: RNAcentral
CCUGUGCAUCGCUCCACCGCCGCAUUCCGCAAGGAGUGAGGAGGAAAGUCCGGGCAGCGUAGGGCACCGUGCUUCCUAACGGGAAGGGGUGCGGCUGGGAACGGCCGCGCUACGGAAAGUGCCGCAGAAAGGGAAACCGCCGAACCACCGCAAGGUGGUGGCAAGGGUGAAAAGGUGGGGUAAGAGCCCACCAGUGUUCCGCGCGAGCGGGGCAGCUAGGUAAACCCCACGGGCUGAAAGACCAUGUAUACCGGGGUUCCGUCGCAAGACGGAUAAGGGCGGCUCGUCCGAUCCCGGAGGGUAGGUCGCUAGAGGUCGUGCGUGAGCGCGAUCCCAGAUAGAUGGUGGGGGCUACCGCAAGGUGGAACAGGACCCGGCUUACAGAUGCACAGGACCU